UAGUCCACGCCGUAAACGAUGGUUACUAGCUGUUUGGUUUUCGGACUGAGUGGCUAAGCGAAAGUGAUAAGUAACCCACCUGGGGAGUACGUUCGCAAGAAUGAAACUCAAAGGAAUUGACGGGGCCCGCACAAGCGGUGGAGCAUGUGGUUUAAUUCGAUGAUACGCGAGGAACCUUACCAGGGCUUAAAUGUAGAUUGACAGGACUAGAGAUAGUUUUUUCUUCGGACAAUUUACAAGGUGCUGCAUGGUUGUCGUCAGCUCGUGCCGUGAGGUGUCAGGUUAAGUCCUAUAACGAGCGCAACCCCUGUUGUUAGUUGCCAGCAUGUAAAGAUGGGAACUCUAGCAAGACUGCCGGUGCAAACCGCGAGGAAGGUGGGGAUGACGUCAAAUCAUCACGGGCCCUUACGCCUAGGGGCGACACACGUGCUACAAUGGGUACAUACAGAGGGGUUGCGAAGCCGCGAGGUGGAGCUAAUCUCAAAAACC
Molecule: ribosomal RNA, 489 nt
Filed under: uncultured bacterium
Lineage: Bacteria
Description: bacterial SSU rRNA
Rfam family: Bacterial small subunit ribosomal RNA
Source: RNAcentral